Aphis gossypii (cotton aphid) is the source of this 849-nucleotide long non-coding RNA. RefSeq lists it as uncharacterized. The transcript is spliced from 3 exons. The record is from RefSeq and is a predicted model, not a curated record. NCBI's taxonomy places the organism in Eukaryota, Metazoa, Arthropoda, Insecta, Hemiptera, Aphididae.
UAAUUAAACGUUUCGUUACGCACAAUAAAUAAUAAUGCAAUUUGUAAUAUAGGUGUAGGUAUUCAUAAUGAUACUAUGGUUAUGCAAAAAUUUACUAGAUGUACCGAAAAAUCUCAAAUAAAAGUUAUUGUUGCGUUUUAAAUAUUUUCUUUUUUUAAUACAAUUUUCAAAUUUGACUUAAAGGCCUAAAAACGUAAUCAGAAUCUUUUGAUAAAAUGGCCGGUUAUAGGCGUAGGCGAUGUCGGUCCAAGCCGACGGCGAAAAAAUGUAUAUUUAUAUAUAGAGGCGGCAUAUAAGAAAAAAUUAUAAAACAAGAGUCAGAAAUUUUGAUCUUUGCCUAAAUAUAAGAAUUUGCUGGCACCAGCCUUGAUAACAUAAGUUGCUGCGGAUCCUGGACAUGAGUAUCGUGGACUACUAAGGAAGUCACGGACCACAGGUUAAGAACCGUUGCUUUAUACCAUUGAGCACUAUUAAAGUAUGUUUUUAAAAAAUAUCAUAUACCUAUAUAUAAACUAUACAUUAACUUUAAAUGUAUAUUAUACUCUAGUAUUUAGAUUGAAUUUAUUCUAACUAUGGUUCUCGUGUAAUUAAAUUACUCAACAAUUAAAAAAAUAUAUUAUAUUUGAUGAAAAAAAAAUGAUGGUCAAGUAUUUGAGAGUAAGAAAAUAAUCUUGGUCACUAAACAUUUGUGUAAAAAGGCGUUAAAUGUACAGUAAUCGACUAUGCAUUAUGAUACACAAAAAAAAUAUAAUUGUAUAUAGGAUAAAACAAUAUUAUUAUUUAAAUUGUUAAUGGAAAUAUAUUUUACAAUAGUUCUCGCUAGUUAAGGGGGAUAUCGAACUCAGUGGU